Long non-coding RNA from Saccostrea cuccullata (small rock oyster), 540 nucleotides. RefSeq lists it as uncharacterized. The record is from RefSeq and is a predicted model, not a curated record. Lineage: Eukaryota; Metazoa; Mollusca; Bivalvia; Ostreida; Ostreidae. The transcript has 3 exons.
AGAGAAAUGGCUUUCGGUCUUUCCACUGGAGAUUCCCCUACAAGAGCAGUUCUGGAGAGUGCAACCAGCACAUCCGGUAAUUCUGCUGUUGUUCAAGCAGACCAGGCAACUUAUUCUCAUUGGUCACAAUUCUAAAACUAUUAUGGAAAGUCAUACCGCCAAAAGGUGGUCCUUCUAUUGAUGCAGGAUCACUGCAGGAGUUGAUUUCACAUCCAAAUGAAGAUCAAAGCACAUGUGAAACUCAGAAUUCAGGUAGUUCUACAAAGUUAAUGUAAAAUUAAUACAAACAAACAAACAACCCCCCAAUUAUUUUUUAUUGUCUUUCAGUUAACAACAGAUAUUUCAGAUAAGGUCUUCCAAUGUUUUACCCACAACUUGAUUUUAAAUUGUGAGAUCAUACUUAUAAAAUCUUUUGCAAUUUAUUUUCCCCUAUACAUAUAUCUUAUAUAUACUGAAGACCUCUGUUUUGCCUUUACAUCAAACAUAUACUUAUUGAUUUUUGUUUGGAUGAUUUUUUAAGAGUUUGUUCAAGAUGCACCA